RNAcentral lists this transfer RNA (68 nucleotides) under Camelus bactrianus (Bactrian camel). It matches the Rfam family "tRNA". From Rfam's summary of the family: Transfer RNA (tRNA) molecules are approximately 80 nucleotides in length. Their secondary structure includes four short double-helical elements and three loops (D, anti-codon, and T loops). RNAcentral also lists the same sequence under 2 other names. Lineage: Eukaryota; Metazoa; Chordata; Mammalia; Artiodactyla; Camelidae. The record is from Rfam by way of RNAcentral.
GUGGGUAUAGCUGAGUGGUAGAGCACUUGCUUAGAACGAGGUCCUGGGUUCAAUCCCCAGUACCCUCU